This 253-nucleotide ribosomal RNA is filed under the name uncultured organism. RNAcentral describes it as "partial 16S ribosomal RNA". It matches the Rfam family "Bacterial small subunit ribosomal RNA", at positions 524 to 776 of the family's 1533-position model. The record is from RNAcentral.
UACGAAGGGGGCUAGCGUUGCUCGGAAUGACUGGGCGUAAAGGGCGCGUAGGCGGCUCAUUUUGUCAGGCGUGAAAGUCCUGGGCUUAACCUGGGGAUGGCGUUUGGGACGGAUGGGCUUGAGUGGGGAAGAGGGUCGUGGAAUUCCCAGUGUAGAGGUGAAAUUCGUAGAUAUUGGGAAGAACACCGGUGGCGAAGGCGGCGACCUGGUCCUUGACUGACGCUGAGGCGCGAGAGCGUGGGGAGCAAACAGG